Long non-coding RNA from Temnothorax curvispinosus, 1264 nucleotides. RefSeq lists it as uncharacterized. The record is from RefSeq and is a predicted model, not a curated record. NCBI's taxonomy places the organism in Eukaryota, Metazoa, Arthropoda, Insecta, Hymenoptera, Formicidae. The transcript is spliced from 4 exons.
UAUAAAUCGAGCGAUUACAUUAAUAUAUCCGCUAAUUAAAAUCUUGCUGUAAAGAGAUCGAUGAAUUGACACGAUGUUAUCUGUCGCAUCUGUUGACGCGACGAAAGGUGAGUAUAAUUGGCGGAAGUGCCGUAAUGCUAUCGCACUUCCGGAACUGGGUGACGAAUCUGGGUCAUGCGAGAUAGAGAAGCAGAAGAAUUCAUCGUCAAGUGCAUCCACGUUGCAAAUGCAUUUCGAGGCGAGGGCAAGGAGGGAAUCCGUAGGCAGGACGAACGCGGAGGGAGUGAGAUAGCCGAGGAUGGCGAGAGAGCGAGGAGUCGGCGGAGUAGAGACCCCGGCAAGAUAGAGGAGCCGGUGGGAGGAUGGCGGUUAGAAUUUAUGGCCGCUUUAUCACUUUACCGGCCUUGCCGCGUCUCCUUUAGCCCGUGAGGAGGGCAGGAUCUCACGAUGAACUUUGGCACUCGACUACGCUGCACUCGACGAGCGGUGUUUUAGGAAGUUUGGGUCCGGGUCCACGUCGCCGAUGUAUAGAAAGGCUAAAUGCAAAACCUUGUAAGGGGAGAGACUCGCGUACUCCGAGAAACUAACAAAACAUCCUCGCAAUUAGCCGGAUGUCCCGAUGACAUCAACGGGGCAUCCCCCGGGACCGCCAACCGUGCUACGUAGCCUCGCGACAGAAAUUUCGCCGCUGCGCCACACCGCCGACUUCGGUCCCCUACCGCUCUCUACCAGUUGUGUUGCUCCUACCAAGCGACCAUCCGCGACCUCUCAACGGGAUUCUAGGUGACGACUGUAGCUGUUGCUCACCGGCUACACAGAUAUGCUAAAUAAUAAAAACUUAUCGGAUUUAUGUCGUCCAGAAUUGGACACGGGGCAAGGGACGGCAAGGAAGAUGCACGCGGCGAGAACGGUGCGCGCCGAGAUUCAAAUUAUCUGUUAUGGAUCUACUAUGGAUUUCAACAAAAUGGUUACAUCGGCUUAUCCAAUGGAUGCUCUUUCAUCACAUAUAUCAUCACAUACAUUCAUCGUAUUAUACAAAUCAAUGAAUACGAAUAAUGAAGAUCUAUGGUGAUAUUAUUUACGAUUUACUAACAAUAAGUGAAUAGACGACAAUUUAAAAUGAGUGAGGAUACAAAAUUUGAUAUAAAGAGUUAAUAAUCUGUAUGAAAAUGCAAUAGAAGUUUACCACUUGUGGCACCAGUAAAAUGUAUAUUAUAACUACAAAGGCGAGAUUUUUAUUAUCUACGGAAAUAUUAGAGAAUGU